This 497-nucleotide ribosomal RNA is filed under the name uncultured bacterium. RNAcentral describes it as "partial 16S ribosomal RNA". It matches the Rfam family "Bacterial small subunit ribosomal RNA", at positions 28 to 507 of the family's 1533-position model. The record is from RNAcentral.
GAUGAACGCUGGCGGCGUGCCUAAUACAUGCAAGUCGAGCGAACGGACGAGAAGCUUGCUUCUCUGAUGUUAGCGGCGGACGGGUGAGUAACACGUGGAUAACCUACCUAUAAGACUGGGAUAACUUCGGGAAACCGGAGCUAAUACCGGAUAAAAUUUUGAACCGCAUGGUUCAAAAGUGAAAGACGGUCUUGCUGUCACUUAUAGAUGGAUCCGCGCUGCAUUAGCUAGUUGGUAAGGUAACGGCUUACCAAGGCAACGAUGCAUAGCCGACCUGAGAGGGUGAUCGGCCACACUGGAACUGGGACACGGUCCAGACUCCUACGGGAGGCAGCAGUAGGGAAUCUUCCGCAAUGGGCGAAAGCCUGACGGAGCAACGCCACGUGAGAGAUAAAGGUCUUCCGAUCGUAAAACUCUGUUAUUAGGGGAGAACAUAUGUGUAAGUAACUGUGCACAUCUUGACGGUACCUAAUCAGAAAGCCACGGCUAACUACGUG